RNAcentral lists this ribosomal RNA (424 nucleotides) under uncultured prokaryote. Its description in RNAcentral is "bacterial SSU rRNA". It matches the Rfam family "Bacterial small subunit ribosomal RNA", at positions 355 to 796 of the family's 1533-position model. The record is from RNAcentral.
UAACGAAUAUUCCGCAAUGCGCGAAAGCGUGACGGAGCAAUGCCGCGUGCAGGAUGAAGCCCUUCCGGGUGUAAACUGCUGUCAGGGGUCACCAAGCUCUGAGGAGCCCCAAAGGAAGGACCGGCUAACUCUGUGCCAGCAGCCGCGGUAAUACAGAGGGUCCAAGCGUUAAUCGGAAUCACUGGGCUUAAAGGGUCCGCAGGCGGACCAGCAAGUGUCUUGUGAAAUACCACCGCUCAACGGUGGAAUUGCUCGGCAGACUGCUGGUCUUGAGCUCGACAGGGGUCGUCAGAACGUUAGGUGGAGCGGUGAAAUGCGUAGAUAUCUAACGGAAUGCCAACGGUGAAGACAGACGACUGGGUCGAUGCUGACGCUCAGGGACGAAAGCAUGGGUAGCGAACGGGAUUAGAUACCCCCGUAGUCC